RNAcentral lists this long non-coding RNA (533 nucleotides) under Lonchura striata (white-rumped munia). RNAcentral describes it as "domestica (Bengalese finch) lncRNA (ENSLSDG00000013287.1)". Lineage: Eukaryota; Metazoa; Chordata; Aves; Passeriformes; Estrildidae. The record is from RNAcentral.
CCACUCCACCCCGCCCCACUGCCUCUCCCACCUCCCUCCCAGGCUGCAGCGAGAGGGGCGACCCCCGAAAGUUGCGCGGAGGCGAGAGCAAUGAGGCAAGAGAGAAGUUUUUAAAAACAGAAAAAUGUGACUGCAUAAACAUCGUUGUUGGCAGGAGGACUCAGUGGAUUCAGAUACAACUGUAAGUGCUGCCUAUAUGAAAGAGCUGAGCCACACCAUCCAGUAAACUGUCUAGAGCAGCAGUUGGCUUGCUUGGAAAUCACUUCCAGGACUGCAUUGUAAGUAAGUGUUUUUACAAAAGCAUCAUCAAAUGGUUUCUUCAGUGUUGGGGUGGUUUUGAGAUGUUUUGGUUGUUUCUUGUAAUUUCACAGUUUUAUUCUAACAUCUAGUAAGACACUAACAAUGCAUGUGGGAGCUUGAGCACCUCCAUAUCUGUGCACAGCGUAAACCUAAAACCCUUUCAAGGCUUUUUGCUCUCUUGCACUAGAACUCCCCAGCAUAGUACCGAAACAAUUCUGGGAACAGGCAGCUAC